Molecule: long non-coding RNA, 340 nt
Organism: Alosa sapidissima (American shad)
Lineage: Eukaryota; Metazoa; Chordata; Actinopteri; Clupeiformes; Clupeidae
Exons: 2
Source: RefSeq, a predicted model, not a curated record
AUUAGUAAUGUGCCGAACUUGCAACAAUGGGGUCUAAAACUUGAGAUAGGCUACACGAGUAAGCUUCACAACUCAGACCUGAGUAAACUGGACUCACGCAGUGCACACGCACACAGUUAGCAGAGGGAGCAUUCUGGAUUCCACAGCCAACGGUCGGCAGUGUUACGGUGUGGCUGACUUUUGGGAUGGGAGUGUAACGCAGCUUCACCAGUGACUUGCUCUGUCCGUUGGAAAACUGAAAAUGCAGAGCAAUGAACUGGACAUGUAAGUUGUGCUUGUUUGGAUGUGAAGUCAGAGGUCAGUUGCUCAAACACUACUGAUUGAAACAUGGAGGUUACAC